Molecule: ribosomal RNA, 837 nt
Filed under: uncultured archaeon
Lineage: Archaea
Description: bacterial SSU rRNA
Rfam family: Archaeal small subunit ribosomal RNA
Source: RNAcentral
GGUUACUGCUAUCGGUGUUCGCCUAAGCCAUGCGAGUCAUAUGUUCUUCGGAACAUGGCGUACUGCUCAGUAACACGUGGAUAACCUGCCCUUGGGUCCGGCAUAACACCGGGAAACUGGGGAUAAUUCCGGAUAACGCACAUAUGCUGGAAUGCUUUAUGCGUCAAAUGGAUUCGUCCGCCCAAGGAUGGGUCUGCGGCCUAUCAGGUAGUAGUAGGUGUAAUGUACCUACUAGCCUACGACGGGUACGGGUUGUGAGAGCAAGAGCCCGGAGAUGGAUUCUGAGACAUGAAUCCAGGCCCUACGGGGCGCAGCAGGCGCGAAAACUUUACAAUGCGGGAAACCGUGAUAAGGGGACACCGAGUGCCAGCAUCAUAUGCUGGCUGUCCGGGUGUGUAAAAUACACCUGUUAGCAAGGGCCGGGCAAGACCGGUGCCAGCCGCCGCGGUAACACCGGCGGCCCGAGUGGUGAUCGUGAUUAUUGGGUCUAAAGGGUCCGUAGCCGGUUUGGUCAGUCCUCCGGGAAAUCUGACGGCUUAACCGUUAGGCUUUCGGGGGAUGCUGCCAGACUUGGAACCGGGAGAGGUAAGAGGUACUACAGGGGUAGGAGUGAAAUCUUGUAAUCCCUGUGGGACCACCUGUGGCGAAGGCGUCUUACCAGAACGGGUUCGACGGUGAGGGACGAAAGCUGGGGGCACGAACCGGAUUAGAUACCCGGGUAGUCCCAGCCGUAAACGAUGCUCGCUAGGUGUCAGGCAUGGCGCGACCGUGUCUGGUGCCGCAGGGAAGCCGUGAAGCGAGCCACCUGGGAAGUACGGCCGCAAGGCUGAAACUUAA